Molecule: long non-coding RNA, 257 nt
Filed under: Elaeis guineensis (African oil palm)
Lineage: Eukaryota; Viridiplantae; Streptophyta; Magnoliopsida; Arecales; Arecaceae
Description: long non-coding RNA (EGUI_LNC060099)
Source: RNAcentral
UACUUAUUCAUGUUAAACUCCUUCAACAUAAAAUCUAUGUACCUAGACUGAGACAAGCCUAACAUCCACUUACAUCUAUCCUUAUAGAUGCCAAGUAUAUUGGAUGCUUAACCUCAAGUCUUUUCCAUGAAAAUUUUUAUGAUAAGUAUGUCAUUCAUCGAGUGCAAUAUUAGAACUAUCUCCCAAUAUGCUGUAUAUCAUCGAUGUACAUAAUCAAGAAGUUAGUGGAUCUUUCACUUAUCUUCUUGCACACACAC